RNAcentral lists this ribosomal RNA (810 nucleotides) under uncultured Pseudomonadota bacterium. RNAcentral's name for it is "bacterial SSU rRNA". It matches the Rfam family "Bacterial small subunit ribosomal RNA", at positions 28 to 885 of the family's 1533-position model. Lineage: Bacteria; Pseudomonadati; Pseudomonadota. The record is from RNAcentral.
AACGAACGCUGGCGGCAGGCCUAACACAUGCAAGUCGAGCGAACCUUCGGGUUAGCGGCGGACGGGUGAGUAACGCGUGGGAAUAUGCCUCUGGGUGCGGAAUAGCCUCUGGAAACGGGGAGUAAUACCGCAUGAUGUCUUCGGACCAAAGAUUUAUCGCCCAGAGAUUGGCCCGCGUUGGAUUAGGUAGUUGGUGAGGUCAAAGCUCACCAAGCCGACGAUCCAUAGCUGGUUUGAGAGGAUGAUCAGCCACACUGGGACUGAGACACGGCCCAGACUCCUACGGGAGGCAGCAGUGGGGAAUCUUAGACAAUGGGGGAAACCCUGAUCUAGCCAUGCCGCGUGAGCGAUGACGGCCUUAGGGUUGUAAAGCUCUUUCACCGGUGACGAUAAUGACGGUAGCCGGAGAAGAAGCCCCGGCUAACUCCGUGCCAGCAGCCGCGGUAAUACGGAGGGGGCUAGCGUUGUUCGGAAUUACUGGGCGUAAAGCGCAUGUAGGCGGACUAUUAAGUCGGGGGUGAAAUCCCGGGGCUCAACCCCGGAACUGCCUUCGAUACUGGUAGUCUGGAGGUCGAGAGAGGCAAGUGGAAUGGCGAGUGUAGAGGUGAAAUUCGUAGAUAUUCGCCGGAACACCAGUGGCGAAGGCGGCUUGCUGGCCCGAUACUGACGCUGAGGCGCGAAAGCGUGGGUAGCAAACAGGAUUAGAUACCCUGGUAGUCCACGCCGUANACGAUGAGCACUAGGUAUGGUGGGUAUUGACCCCUGCCGUGCCGUAGCUAACGCGUUAAGUGCUCCGCCUGGGGAGUACGG